AAUUCGCGUUAAGGAUUGAACGAUCUGUUUGAGCUCUUUUUGUUUUUUCAACAAAAAAGCGAGUAGUGAAAGCCUGUUAAAAC
Molecule: unclassified non-coding RNA, 83 nt
Filed under: Polaribacter sp. KT25b
Lineage: Bacteria; Pseudomonadati; Bacteroidota; Flavobacteriia; Flavobacteriales; Flavobacteriaceae
Description: Flavo-1 RNA
Source: RNAcentral